UGUAGUAAUACAAGGCAUACGGCUCAGUAACACGUAGUCAACCUACCCUAUGGACGAGAAUAAUCUCGGGAAACUGAGCAUAAUUCUUGAUAGAUCAUAAUGCCUGGAAUGGUUUAUGAUUAAAAUGAUUCGUCGCCAUAGGAUGGGACUGCGGCCUAUCAGCUUGUUGGUGAGGUAAUGGCCCACCAAGGCGAUUACAGGUACGGGCUCUGAGAGGAGAAGCCCGGAGAUGGGUACUGAGACACGGACCCAGGCCCUAUGGGGCGCAGCAGGCGAGAAAACUUUGCAAUGUGCGAAAGCACGACAAGGUUAAUCCGAGUGAUUUCUGCUAAAGAAAUCUUUUGCCAGUCGUAAAACCACUGGUGAAUAAGGGGUGGGCAAGUUCUGGUGUCAGCCGCCGCGGUAAAACCAGCACCUCAAGUGGUCAGGAUGAUUAUUGGGCCUAAAGCAUCCGUAGCCUGCUUUGUAAGUUUUCGGUUAAAUCCAUGUGCUCAACGCAUGGGCUGCCGAAAAUACUGCAUAGCUAGGGAGUGGGAGAGGUAGACGGUACUCAGUAGGUAGGGGUAAAAUCCUUUGAUCUAUUGAUGACCACCUGUGGCGAAGGCGGUCUACCAGAACACGUUCGACGGUGAGGGAUGAAAGCUGGGGGAGCAAACCGGAUUAGAUACCUGGGUAGUCCCAGCUGUAAACGAUGCAGACUCGAUGAUGCAUUGGCAUAAUAGCCAUUGCAGUGUCGCAGGGAAGCCGUUAAGUCUGCCGCCUGGGAAGUACGUACGCAAGUAUGAAACUUAAAGAAUUGGCGGGG
Molecule: ribosomal RNA, 805 nt
Filed under: uncultured marine group I thaumarchaeote
Lineage: Archaea; Thermoproteati; Nitrososphaerota
Description: SSU rRNA
Rfam family: Archaeal small subunit ribosomal RNA
Source: RNAcentral